This 490-nucleotide ribosomal RNA is filed under the name uncultured bacterium. RNAcentral's name for it is "partial 16S ribosomal RNA". It matches the Rfam family "Bacterial small subunit ribosomal RNA", at positions 30 to 505 of the family's 1533-position model. The record is from RNAcentral.
AGUGAACGCUGGCGGUAGGCCUAACACAUGCAAGUCGAACGGCAGCACAGUAAGAGCUUGCUCUUACGGGUGGCGAGUGGCGGACGGGUGAGGAAUACAUCGGAAUCUACUUUUUCGUGGGGGAUAACGUAGGGAAACUUACGCUAAUACCGCAUACGACCUACGGGUGAAAGCAGGGGAUCUUCGGACCUUGCGCGAUUGAAUGAGCCGAUGUCGGAUUAGCUAGUUGGCGGGGUAAAGGCCCACCAAGGCGACGAUCCGUAGCUGGUCUGAGAGGAUGAACAGCCAAAGUGGAAACGGAGAAACGGUCAAAACGCCAAGGGGAGAAGGAGGGGGGAAAUAUGGGAAAAGGGGGGAAGGCUGAUCCAACAAUGACGGGGGGGGGAAGAAAGCCUUGGGGGUGGAAAGCCCUUUUUGGGGGAAAGAAAAGGAGCAGGUUAAAGCCCCGGUGUUCAGAGGGUACCCAAAAAAAAAGCACCGGCUAAAUUUG